CAAGUCCUCAUGGCCCUUAUGGGCUGGGCUACACACGUGCUACAAUGGCGCAUACAGAGUGCUGCGAACUCGCGAGAGUAAGCGAAUCACUUAAAGUGCGUCGUAGUCCGGAUUGGAGUCUGCAACUCGACUCCAUGAAGUUGGAAUCGCUAGUAAUCGCGUAUCAGCAAUGACGCGGUGAAUACGUUCCCGGACCUUGUACACACCGCCCGUCAAGCCAUGGAAGCUGGGGGUGCCUGAAGUCGGUAACCGCAAGGAGCUGCCUAGGGCAAAACUAGUAACUGGGGCUAAGUCGGAACAAGGUAGCCG
This 309-nucleotide ribosomal RNA is filed under the name Oxyrrhis marina. RNAcentral's name for it is "partial Bacterial small subunit ribosomal RNA". It matches the Rfam family "Bacterial small subunit ribosomal RNA", at positions 1186 to 1502 of the family's 1533-position model. Lineage: Eukaryota; Dinophyceae; Oxyrrhinales; Oxyrrhinaceae. The record is from RNAcentral.